This 498-nucleotide ribosomal RNA is filed under the name uncultured bacterium. RNAcentral's name for it is "partial 16S ribosomal RNA". It matches the Rfam family "Bacterial small subunit ribosomal RNA", at positions 30 to 523 of the family's 1533-position model. The record is from RNAcentral.
AUUGAACGCUGGCGGCAUGCCUUACACAUGCAAGUCGAACGGUAACAGGUCUUCGGAUGCUGACGAGUGGCGAACGGGUGAGUAAUACAUCGGAACGUGCCCGAGAGUGGGGGAUAACGAAGCGAAAGCUUUGCUAAUACCGCAUACGAUCUCAGGAUGAAAGCAGGGGACCGCAAGGCCUUGCGCUCACGGAGCGGCCGAUGGCAGAUUAGGUAGUUGGUGGGAUAAAAGCUUACCAAGCCGACGAUCUGUAGCUGGUCUGAGAGGACGACCAGCCGCACUGGGACUGAGACACGGCCCAGACUCGUACGGGAGGCAGCAGUGGGGAAUUUUGGACAAUGGGCGCAAGCCUGAUCCAGCCAUGCCGCGUGCAGGAUGAAGGCCUUCGGGUUGUGAACUGCUUUUGUACGGAACGAAAAGACUCUGGUUAAUACCUGGGGUCCAUGACGGUACCGUAAGAAUAAGCACCGGCUAACUACGUGCCAGCAGCCGCUGUAA